AAGACGGGUCUGGAACCUAACCACGGGGUGUCCAUGACCCCCGAGGUUGCCGCCCACCAGCAAUGAAAGGGUUAUCGGGCAGCCGCAGCCACCACCACGGCGUCACCUGUGAUUCGGCCUGUGACUCGCUGUCGCACCACUCCUCGGACCGCAAGCCCUACCUGCUGAGCCCGGUGGAGCACCACCCCGCGGACCACCCUUACUACACCCAGCGGAACUCCUUCCAGGCCGAGUGCGUGGGCCCCUUCAGCGACCCGCUGGCCAGCAGCACCUUCCCACGCAGGCACUACACGUCACAGCAGGAGUUGAAAGACGAGUGCGCCCUGGUGCCCCGCACCCUGGCCACCAAGGCCAACCGCAUUCCCGCCAACCUCCUGGACCAGUUUGAGAGGCAGCUGCCGCUCAACCGCGAUGGCUACCACACGCUGCAGUACAAGCGCACCGCCGUGGAGCACCGCAGCGACAGCCCCGGCCGCAUCCGCCACCUGGUCCACUCGGUCCAGAAGCUCUUCACCAAGUCGCACUCCCUGGAGGGGCCGUCCAAGGGCAGCGUGAACGGGGGCAAAGCCAGCCCCGACGAGACGCAGACGGUGCGGUACGGCAAGCGCAGUAAGAGCAAGGAGCGGCGCGCGGACCCCAAGGCCCGCCCCAACACCUCCCCCGGCUGGUGGAGCUCCGAUGACAACCUGGACGGCGACAUGUGCAUCUACCACGCGCCCUCGGGCGUGAUGACCAUGGGCAGGUGCCCCGACCGCUCGGCCUCGCAGUACUUCAUGGAGGCCUACAACACCAUCAGCGAGCAGGCGGUCAAGGCCUCCCGGAGUAACAACGACGUCAAGUGCUCCACCUGUGCCAACCUGCCUGUCAACCUGGACGCGCCGCUCCUGAAGAAGAGCGCGUGGUCCUCCACUCUGACAGUCAGCCGUGCCAGGGAGGUUUACCAGAAAGCCUCGGUUAACAUGGACCAGGCCAUGGUGAAGUCAGAGUCAUGUCAACAAGAACGUUCCUGCCAGUACCUUCAGGUACCAUUUAUGUCAAGUGAUGGAUGCUUAGAAAUUGUACCUGCUAAUUGUGUGGUGUUUUCUCCUGGGCCCUAG
This is a non-coding RNA of Leptonychotes weddellii (Weddell seal), 1097 nucleotides long. The record is from RefSeq and is a predicted model, not a curated record. NCBI's taxonomy places the organism in Eukaryota, Metazoa, Chordata, Mammalia, Carnivora, Phocidae.